UACAAUAAUGAAUUUAAUUUGAAUCUAAAACUAACAUAGGUACUUUGAACAUUUGAGCUUAUAGUCAUAUUAUGUUUAAACUAAUCUCUGAUUAUGAAAAGUCUGUACAAGUUUGAACAUUCUAAUACAUAAUUUUCUUUAUUAAAUCACAUCGUUGAAAGUAUAAAAAUUAAUCUACCGGAGAAUUUUUUAAGCAAAAGUUGUAAUUUUGAAGUUUGGAUUUAUAGGUAUUUUGGAAAGAAAGAAAGAAAAAUGUUUAUUUUUGAAAGCUGUGACACACAUUACCAGUUACACCUACGGGUUAGGUUAUCCCGGCGCGGCGCCUCUAAUUCUUGAGCAUUAAAAUCAAAAGACCUCAAGCAGAAGAAUCGCCGGAAUAAACUGUGCCAUGUGUGGCACAACCCGAAAACUAAGGUCCCAACUCAGCAUAAAUGCUGUAUGUAUUUUAAGAAUCCUUAUAUUAUACUAAAUCCACAUAAUAUAUACGAACAAAGAAAUAGCAAAUCAUAAAAAUGAUCUUAACCUACCCGGCCUAGCUCCAAUUUAGAAUAAAGAGACGCUGUUUUUUCGUUUUUUCACACAUUUUCAACUCGCAAAGCUUCGCUGCAAAGCCAGAAAAAUAUAAUUAAAAAUAAUACGCAUCUACUUACUGUAAUAUAAGAAUUUUCUUAAAAGUUAAAAUUUUAGAUGAAAAUAUAGUUUAAUCAUCAAUUUGUUUGAUAACGUGUCACUAACAACGAAAACUUU
Molecule: long non-coding RNA, 747 nt
Organism: Maniola jurtina (meadow brown)
Lineage: Eukaryota; Metazoa; Arthropoda; Insecta; Lepidoptera; Nymphalidae
Exons: 3
Source: RefSeq, a predicted model, not a curated record